Molecule: ribosomal RNA, 498 nt
Filed under: uncultured bacterium
Lineage: Bacteria
Description: partial 16S ribosomal RNA
Rfam family: Bacterial small subunit ribosomal RNA
Source: RNAcentral
GACGAACGCUGGCGGCGUGCCUAAUACAUGCAAGUCGAACGAGAGCGACCGGUGCUUGCACUGGUCAAUCUAGUGGCGAACGGGUGAGUAACACGUGGGUAACCUGCCCAUCAGAGGGGGAUAACAUCCGGAAACGGAUGCUAAAACCGCAUAGGUCUUCGGACCGCAUGGUUUGAAGAGGAAAAGAGGCGCACGCUUCUGCUGAUGGAUGGACCCGCGGUGCAUUAGCUAGUUGGUGAGGUAACGGCUCACCAAGGCCGUGAUGCAUAGCCGACCUGAGAGGGUGAUCGGCCACAUUGGGACUGAGACACGGCCCAAACUCCUACGGGAGGCAGCAGUAGGGAAUCUUCCGCAAUGGACGCAAGUCUGACGGAGCAACGCCGCGUGAGUGAAGAAGGUUUUCGGAUCGUAAAACUCUGUUGUUAGAGAAGAACAAGUGCUAGAGUAACUGUUAGCGCCUUGACGGUAUCUAACCAGAAAGCCACGGCUAACUACGUG